This 343-nucleotide unclassified non-coding RNA is filed under the name soil metagenome. RNAcentral's name for it is "partial contains 5.8S ribosomal RNA, internal transcribed spacer 2, and large subunit ribosomal RNA". The stretch from base 1 to 120 matches the Rfam family "5.8S ribosomal RNA", at positions 35 to 154 of the family's 154-position model. The record is from RNAcentral.
GAUGAAGAACGCAGCGAAAUGCGAUAAGUAAUGUGAAUUGCAGAAUUCAGUGAAUCAUCGAAUCUUUGAACGCACAUUGCGCCCGCCAGCAUUCUGGCGGGCAUGCCUGUUCGAGCGUCAUUUCAACCCUCGAGCCCCCCCGGGGGCCUCGGUGUUGGGGGACGGCACACCAGCCGCCCCCGAAAUGCAGUGGCGACCCCGCCGCAGCCUCCCCUGCGUAGUAGCACACACCUCGCACCGGAGCGCGGAGGCGGUCACGCCGUAAAACGCCCAACUUUCUUAGAGUUGACCUCGGAUCAGGUAGGAAUACCCGCCGAACUUAAGCAUAUCAAUAAGCGGAGGA